AGAGUUGAUCAUGGCUCAGGACGAACGCUGGCGGCGUGCUUAACACAUGCAAGUCGAACGGGAGUAUUGAAGAAGCUUGCUUUAGAGAUACUUUAGUGGCGGACGGGUGAGUAACGCGUGAGGAACUGUCCUAUGCAGGGGGACAACAGCUGGAAACGGCUGCUAAUACCCCAUAAGCCGAGAGGUAAAAGGAUCAAUCCGGCAGAGGAGGUACUCGCGUCCUAUCAGCUAGUAGGUGAGGUAACGGCUCACCUAGGCGAAGACGGGUAGCCGGCCUGAGAGGGCGAACGGCCACACUGGAACUGAGAUACGGUCCAGACUCCUACGGGAGGCAGCAGUGGGGAAUAUUGGGCAAUGGGGGAAACCCUGACCCAGCGACGCCGCGUGGGUGAAGAAAUCCUUCGGGAUGUAAAGCCCUGUUGUAUGGGAAGAGCGGAAGACGGUACCAUACGAGGAAGCCCCGGCAAACUACGUGCCAGCAGCCGC
Molecule: ribosomal RNA, 486 nt
Filed under: uncultured bacterium
Lineage: Bacteria
Description: bacterial SSU rRNA
Rfam family: Bacterial small subunit ribosomal RNA
Source: RNAcentral